AUAAACCGCCGAUGAUGUUAAGAUGUUCAAAAUGUUAAAAUCUAAUAAUUUUACAUCAGCUUUAUAGAAUCAAUUCUAAAAGCCUUUUUAUUUGCUUUACAUUACGCUAUGUUUGCUUUAUAUUGGUGGUUAAAAAAUACAAAAACGGCAAACGUCACAGUGCAGACGCCCUCUUAGAUGGGGGGAGGGUUAAUGUAUUAUGUUAGUAUCUGUACAGUGCGACCGUUUAUUUGUACCGUGAUAAGACAACUGAACGAAAACAAACAACGAAUUCUAAUAGUAUAUCUAUGUAUAUACUUUUAUAUUAUAUAGAUAGUUACAUACGGUGACAAAUGAAAAUGGGAAAUAUUCCGAUGAUGUGCCGUGCCGGAAACAAAAAAAAGCGAGAAAGAAAAAAAGCUGCCGGUUAAAUCAUCCGGAUCGCGUAGGUACCUAUGUAAAUUCGCCUCGUAUAAUAUAAUAUUUUGACGGGUAAAAAUAAGUCUC
Molecule: non-coding RNA, 486 nt
Organism: Cinara cedri
Lineage: Eukaryota; Metazoa; Arthropoda; Insecta; Hemiptera; Aphididae
Source: the annotation of a GenBank genome assembly